ACCCCGCCCGACUGCAAGCCCCAGCUCCCAGAGGGAAUGAAUGCAGCCCACCCCCCGCGGCCGCAGCGCCCCCCCGCGGAGCCACGCAACCCUGGAUAAAUACGUAAUUAAGUCCCGGCGCUCCCACUCCCGGAAAGGACCUGCGCGGGAUCCGGCAAAUACGGUAGCACGCCCGCAGUGACCCGCCCCCGAGGGUCCGGCUCUGGCCUCGGCCAGGCCCACAAACCGCCCCCAGCGACAGGAAAGAGGGUCGGACGGAGGCGCCGGCCUUUCCCCGGGUGAUAUGGGCUGAGCGCCGGAGCCCGGCGGCGGAGCGGCCCUGGGCGAGGGUUUCAGGACUGGAGACAACAGUCAAAGGGGCCGAAUCGAGGAGCUGCCCUCGCUGACAGUUUCGCCAAAGUCUGCCUGACUAUAUGGCCUGGGUUAUAUCACUAGAGUGACCAGAGGGAAAGGAAGAAGACAUCAGGCCCCUGCUGACCCCACCUCCUCAGAACGGAACCCGCAGUCAAGCCAGAGAUAUCCCAUAAAAGAGCAACUUACGACGUCUGGAGUAGCAGCGGGCGUGAGAGGGCAGAACCAAAUUACAGCUUCCAGCUGCCAUUUAAUGAUAAUGUCCCUUACUCGGACAUAACUUUGCCUUUUACAAAGCCCUUUUCCAUGUAUGAUCUCGUGGGAACCUUCCAAUAACCAUGUGCACCCUAGCUUGUGUGAGUAUUAUCCCAUUUUAUAGACGGGAAAAUAAAAUUGAAACACAGA
Molecule: long non-coding RNA, 756 nt
Organism: Gorilla gorilla gorilla (western lowland gorilla)
Lineage: Eukaryota; Metazoa; Chordata; Mammalia; Primates; Hominidae
Exons: 2
Source: RefSeq, a predicted model, not a curated record